GACGAACGCUGGCGGCGUGCUUAACACAUGCAAGUCGAACGGAAAGGCCCUGCUUUUGUGGGGUGCUCGAGUGGCGAACGGGUGAGUAACACGUGAGUAACCUGCCCUUGACUUUGGGAUAACUUCAGGAAACUGGGACUAAUACCGGAUAGGAGCUCCUGCUGCAUGGUGGGGGUUGGAAAGUUUCGGCGGUUGGGGAUGGACUCGCGGCUUAUCAGCUUGUUGGUGGGGUAGUGGCUUACCAAGGCUUUGACGGGUAGCCGGCCUGAGAGGGUGACCGGCCACAUUGGGACUGAGAUACGGCCCAGACUCCUACGGGAGGCAGCAGUGGGGAAUAUUGCACAAUGGGCGGAAGCCUGAUGCAGCGACGCCGCGUGCGGAAUGACGGCCUUCGGGUUGUAAACCGCUUUCGCCUGUGACGAAGCGUGAGUGACGGUAAUGGGUAAAGAAGCACCGGCUAACUACGUG
This 468-nucleotide ribosomal RNA is filed under the name uncultured bacterium. Its description in RNAcentral is "partial 16S ribosomal RNA". It matches the Rfam family "Bacterial small subunit ribosomal RNA", at positions 28 to 507 of the family's 1533-position model. The record is from RNAcentral.